UACGGGGGGAGCAAGCGUUGUUCGGAUUUACUGGGCGUAAAGGGCGCGUAGGCGGCCAGCACAAUUCAGUUGUGAAAUCUCCGAGCUUAACUCGGAACGGUCAACUGAUACUGUGCGGCUAGAGUGCAGAAGGGGCAACUGGAAUUCUUGGUGUAGCGGUGAAAUGCGUAGAUAUCAAGAGGAACACCUGCGGCGAAGGCGGGUUGCUGGGCUGACACUGACGCUGAGGCGCGAAAGCUAGGGGAGCGAACGGG
Molecule: ribosomal RNA, 254 nt
Filed under: uncultured bacterium
Lineage: Bacteria
Description: partial 16S ribosomal RNA
Rfam family: Bacterial small subunit ribosomal RNA
Source: RNAcentral